GACGAACGCUGGCGGCGUGCUUAACACAUGCAAGUCGAACGGAAAGGCCUGCUUUCCCUUGUGGAUUGCGGGUACUCGAGUGGCGAACGGGUGAGUAACACGUGAGUGAUCUGCCCCCAACUUGGGUAUAAGCCUGGGAAACUGGGUCUAAUUCCCGAUAGGACUGCAGGGUGGUGCCUGUGGUGGAAAACGAUUUUCUAGUGGUUGGGGAUGAGCUCGCGGCCUAUCAGCUUGUUGGUGGGGUAAUGGCCUACCAAGGCGGCGACGGGUAGCCGGCCUGGGAGGGUGGACGGCCACAUUGGGACUGGGAUACGGCCCAGACGCCUACGGGAGGCAGCAGUGGGGAAUAUUGCACAAUGGGCGGAAGCCUGAUGCAGCGACGCCGCGUGGGGGAUGUCGGCCUUCGGGUUGUAAACUCCUUUCGACCGCGAGGAAGCCACCUGGUUGGAAGGGUGGUGACGGUAGUGGUAGAAGAAGCACCGGCUAACUACGUG
RNAcentral lists this ribosomal RNA (494 nucleotides) under uncultured bacterium. RNAcentral describes it as "partial 16S ribosomal RNA". It matches the Rfam family "Bacterial small subunit ribosomal RNA", at positions 28 to 507 of the family's 1533-position model. The record is from RNAcentral.